GGUAAGUAUUGAUAUAAUAAAGCAGCUGCAUUUGCCAUAUUGGCAAUUUCAUCAUGUUCAUCCAUUAAUAAGCCACGCAGACUCGUUAAUAAGGUUUCAUAUUCAUUGUUCAUCAUUAUACUACCUCCAUGACAGUAUCGUAUCACAUUUUUCAUAAAGCGGAAAUGAAAAAAGCAUGUUCUGUGCAAGAUGAUGGAUAGCUAAAAAGAUAACUCAGGAUAAGUGCGUAAUACUGCUUAAUAAAUGGCUGUAUCAUUGGAUUUUAUCUUCAUCAUAAAAAAGUAUAUGUUUGUAUCUUUAUUCAUACUUCUUAUCUAUAGAGGCCCCCAGAAAAUGGGGCAUAGAAAAAAGAUAAGCUCUAUUCACAGAGCUCAUCUUCCAUUUUACUAAAUUUUGUAUAGGCUUUUGAGAUGUUCUUCUCAGAAUCUGAGGUCAUCUUAUACCAGCCUUGUUCUUUCAUCAUUUCAUAAACCUUGCGCUGUUGAGCAGAAAGAUCUUGAUAUAGCGUAUCUACUUCUUUAAAAAGUUCUUCAUUACUUGCUUCCUGUGAAAAAGUGUUGUAUUCACUCUUCAUAUGUUUCAAGGUUACUAACAGGUUGGUCGCAAUCUCUUUAUCGCUGUAAUUAUUAGUUGAUCCACUCAUUCUUUUACCUCCUUUUGCAAAAGUUCUACCAUUGUAUGAUAAUGUUUAGCAAGAUUCGUAUUGACCUCCUCAAAGCAGGUUUUCACUUCUUCAUUUUGAAUCAUUGUGACAUCAUUGGUAAUUCUUUUGUUUAAGACAAAGGUCUGAUCCAGCAGGUCUUCUAAAUAUAAGACAUCUUUAGGUGUUAACAUAGCAUCACACGCAUGAAACAUUGCUCAUGCUUCUCCUUUCAUUUCUAGUAUGGGAAGAGAUUGAAAAUGUAUUCUAUGAUUUUUUAUGAUAUUUUGCUAUAAUAAAAAAACGUUAGGAGGCAGACAUGGAAUUACAAGAAAAUCAAUAUGUAUAUAUUCAAAGUUAUAAACAUGAUGGCAGUCUGCAUCGGACAUGGGCAAUGGGAUACGUGCUUGAGGCAAAUGAAAAACGUAUCGUUGCUGUCACGAAUCGUACUUUGGUAAGUGAAUCAGACGGUCGUAAGUGGGUGACCAGAGAACCGGCAAUCUGCUUUUUCUAUCCAGAUAAAUGGUAUAAUGUCAUUUGCAUGAUUCGUAAAACCGGCAUUCAUUAUUAUUGCAAUCUAGCAUCGCCUAGUAUUUAUGAUGGUGAGGCAAUUAAGAAUAUUGAUUAUGAUUUGGAUGUGAAGGUAUCGCCAACAGGAAAAACGAUGUUGUUAGAUGAGGAUGAAUAUGAACAACAUGCAAGGGAAAUGGCAUACAGCAAAGCGUUGGAUCGUGCAAUUCAUAAAGGACUGGAUCGUUUGAUGGUGGAUAUUCGAUUGCGGAAUUCGCCUUUUGAACAUCAUGAAAUUAAUGCAUUGUAUGAGCGAUAUUUGGCAUGUAUGGAGUUGGAGAAGAAGCAGUGAUUUCAAAAAUGUAGUAAAACUGUGAACGGAUAAGUAUAGGUGACUUGUUGUAACGCAGCAAUAACGUAACUGAUAUUAUAUAGAUGACGUAUGUGAUGCAGGUGGUGGAUGCUUGAUCUUGCAUUAAAAACUUGAAAGAAUUAGGUAAAAUAAAAACAGCAAUAUAAAAAAAUGAAAAAACUAAAAAUUAUCGUUGACAUCGAAAAUAAAGUGUUGUAUUAUAUACGAGCGCUAAGCGAAAGCGAAGUGCAAAUCGGUCUUUGAAAACUGAACAGGAAACGUCAAUUUCAAUGAAAAAGAGAAGAAAUUCUCGGAUAAACAAAUAAGAAAAACGUUAGUAAACGUUUUGAGCUAAAUCAAAUGGAGAGUUUGAUCCUGGCUCAGGAUGAACGCUGGCGGCAUGCCUAAUACAUGCAAGUCGAACGAAGUCUUUAGGAAGCUUGCUUCCAAAGAGACUUAGUGGCGAACGGGUGAGUAACACGUAGGUAACCUGCCCAUGUGCCCGGGAUAACUGCUGGAAACGGUAGCUAAAACCGGAUAGGUAUGAGGGAGGCAUCUUCCUCAUAUUAAAGCACCUUCGGGUGUGAACAUGGAUGGACCUGCGGCGCAUUAGCUGGUUGGUGAGGUAACGGCCCACCAAGGCGAUGAUGCGUAGCCGACCUGAGAGGGUGAACGGCCACAUUGGGACUGAGACACGGCCCAAACUCCUACGGGAGGCAGCAGUAGGGAAUUUUCGUCAAUGGGGGGAACCCUGAACGAGCAAUGCCGCGUGUGUGAAGAAGGUCUUCGGAUCGUAAAGCACUGUUGUAAGUGAAGAAUGCCA
This 2325-nucleotide ribosomal RNA is filed under the name Eubacterium sp. 3_1_31. Its description in RNAcentral is "23S ribosomal RNA". The stretch from base 1860 to 2325 matches the Rfam family "Bacterial small subunit ribosomal RNA", at positions 1 to 454 of the family's 1533-position model. The record is from RNAcentral. Lineage: Bacteria; Bacillati; Bacillota; Clostridia; Eubacteriales; Eubacteriaceae.